AUUGAACGCUGGCGGCAGGCCUAACACAUGCAAGUCGAGCGGAGCGGCGGACGGGUGAGUAAUGCCUAGGAAUCUGCAUGGUCGUGGGGGAUAACGUCCGGUAACGGGCGCUAUUACCGCAUUCUCUCAGAUUCGCCUUGGUCGGAUUAGCUAGUUGGUGGGGUAAAGGGCUACCAAGGCGACGAUCCGUAACUGGUCUGAGAGGAUGAUCAGUCAAACUGGAACUGAGACACGGUCCAGACUCCUACGGGAGGCAGCAGUGGGGAAUAUUGGACAAUGGGCGAAAGCCUGAUCCAGCCAUGCCGCGUGUGUGAAGAAGGUCUUCGGAUUGUAAAGCACUGUAAGUUGGGAGGCGUUACCAACAGAAUAAGCACCGGCUAACUUCGUGCCAGCAGCCGCGGUAAUUC
This 407-nucleotide ribosomal RNA is filed under the name uncultured bacterium. Its description in RNAcentral is "partial 16S ribosomal RNA". It matches the Rfam family "Bacterial small subunit ribosomal RNA", at positions 30 to 526 of the family's 1533-position model. The record is from RNAcentral.